UCCGGCUUGUCACCGGCAGUUUCUUCAGAGUGCCCGGCCGAACCGCUGGCAACUGGGAGCGAGAGUUGCGCUCGUUGCGGGACUUAACCCAACAUCUCACGACACGAGCUGACGACAGCCAUGCAGCACCUGUGCUGGCUACCCUUGCGGGUUCAUUGCCGUUUCCGGUUUUUAAUACCAGCAUGUCAAACCUGGGUAAGGUUCUUCGCGUUGCGUCGAAUUAAACCACAUGCACCACCGCUUGUGCGGGCCCCCGUCAAUUCCUUUGAGUUUCAACCUUGCGGUCGUACUCCCCAGGCGGGGUACUUCCUGCGUUAGCGCCGGCACCCAGAGGGUCGCUCCCCCAGGCACCUAGUACCCAUCGUUUACGGCGUGGACUAC
Molecule: unclassified non-coding RNA, 381 nt
Filed under: uncultured bacterium
Lineage: Bacteria
Description: contains 16S-23S intergenic spacer region
Source: RNAcentral